RNAcentral lists this ribosomal RNA (415 nucleotides) under uncultured Methanosaeta sp. RNAcentral's name for it is "bacterial SSU rRNA". It matches the Rfam family "Archaeal small subunit ribosomal RNA", at positions 922 to 1338 of the family's 1478-position model. Lineage: Archaea; Methanobacteriati; Methanobacteriota; Methanomicrobia; Methanotrichales; Methanotrichaceae. The record is from RNAcentral.
UCUCGACCGGGGGCGACAGCAAUAUGAAGGUCAGGCUGAAGACCUUACCCGAUUAGCUGAGAGGUGGUGCAUGGCCGUCGUCAGUUCGUACUGUGAAGCAUCCUGUUAAGUCAGGCAACGAGCGAGACCCACGUCCACAGUUGCCAGCAUACCCUCCGGGGUGAUGGGUACACUGUGGAGACCGCCGCUGCUAAAGCGGAGGAAGGAGUGGGCAACGGUAGGUCAGUAUGCCCCGAAUCUCCCGGGCUACACGCGAGCUACAAUGGUUGGUACAAUGGGCAUCUACCCCGAAAGGGGAAGGAAAUCUCUUAAAGCCAAUCGUAGUUCGGAUUGAGGGCUGCAACUCGCCCUCAUGAAGCUGGAAUCCGUAGUAAUCGCGUUUCAACAGAACGCGGUGAAUACGUCCCUGCUCCUU